UGAGUUCGGAUUGGUCUGCCAUGUAGCUCACUUCUAUAACAUGAGCGGCUCAGUAUGUGUAAGUAAUCCUUUCUAACUCAGCUUUUUUGAAAGAUAUCACAAAGAACUGCAAAAGUGUUGUUAAUGCUCUCCACUUUCUGGAGGACGGAGUUUGGAAAUCAGUGGAAUGCCCAGUGGAAGCAGAGUAUGAUAGCUAAAGAGAUGGAGAAAAUUCAGGCGUUUUGAUUUCAAAUAUGCUGAGGGAGUCGAAAAGACAACAUGCAUAAGGCUGUUGUAUAAAACACCUAUCUCCAGAUUACAUCUUCAAACUAAGGGCAUCCGUGACAGAGAUGGAGAAGCAUUCAUCCAUGUAUACGGGACCGUGACGUUGCAGUGGUGGGUGAGGGAGAUGCAGGUCUGUGUGCUGCACGUCACAUCCUGUCCCGCCCAGACACCUUUGCACCACCCGUCGCCUACGAGCUCACGGAACACGUGGGUGGCACCUGGUUCUACAAGGAACUUACCGGACCAACUUGCCAAAGGAGGUGAUGAUGUUCCCUGACUUCCCCUUUGACCCCCAGCUUCCUCCUUCCAAACACACCAGGAAGUGCAGAGAUAUCUGGAGAGAUACUGCCAGAGCCACCGCAUCACACCAAACAUCAGGUUCAGCACCGUGGUGGAGGAGGUGAUCCCUGUCACCAUGGCAACAGAGAAGGGACUAAUGUCGACAUGGGAGGUGACUUCACGUGACAAGUCGGGAUCACGUAACACUGAAACGUUUGAU
This is a long non-coding RNA of Salvelinus fontinalis (brook trout), 763 nucleotides long. RefSeq lists it as uncharacterized. Lineage: Eukaryota; Metazoa; Chordata; Actinopteri; Salmoniformes; Salmonidae. The transcript has 4 exons. The record is from RefSeq and is a predicted model, not a curated record.